This is a long non-coding RNA of Engraulis encrasicolus (European anchovy), 512 nucleotides long. RefSeq lists it as uncharacterized. The record is from RefSeq and is a predicted model, not a curated record. The transcript has 4 exons. Lineage: Eukaryota; Metazoa; Chordata; Actinopteri; Clupeiformes; Engraulidae.
GUUAAGGAGAAGAGUAGUGUGUCCUGUCUAUGAUAUGCCCAAAACAACCAUAAAACCGCAACUACAUCGCUCAUCUUCAGACGACCAUUUACUAAAAGCCAAGGCUAUCGGCAGGUAACAUUAUAAAGUUAAUUGUCCUUUGAAAUGGAAAAUGUUUUGUGAUAUCACCUAAGAACACAGAGAAAAUCGACCCUCUGCAAUGAGAAUCACAUGUGCACCGCUUGUGUCUAACAGCAAAGAGACAAAAGCAGCUCCCCGCUGCCGAAUUCUCGGAAAGCCAGUUUGGCAACACUGCCAGAUGGCUCCCUCUAAGAUCCAGACAUAUCCAGCUCAUCUUCAUCAGCCUCCACUGAUUAGCGUCUACUGAAGCGACUGCAUUUCCAUUUGAUGUGAAUGUUACCAAUACCAUGUGCAAUAUGAAGUAUAUACAGUAUAUACAUCAAGGUUGAAAAUGAUGUGCUUUUGUGUAGUUUGUAAUACUCAUUUGAAAUGCAAUAAAGAUACAUUAUCAC